AUAUAUGUGUUAGGAUUAGCCCCAAAUAUCUUGAAUUAGACUCUAAUUUUAUAUUUUAGAGUCUGAUACAAUUAGGCUCUAAGUUUAUGUAUUAGAGCUUAGUCACAUUUGAUUUUGGUUCAUCUCAAGGUGAAAUAUUAACUAAAUCCUAAUUAUAUGUAUUAGGAUUAGUCAGAUUUGAUUUAAAUUAAACUCCAAGUGUAUGUAUUGGAAUCCAACAAAUUAAUUUGAUCAGAUAGUUUGAUCAAUUCUAAAUAUAGGUUUAGAAUUUGAUCAAGUUUGAACAUGAUUGUGAUUUGACUCUAGUUUUAUAUGCUAGAGAAUCGAAUAUUUUGGGAAUUGGGAUGUUCGUGAAAAUUGAACUUGAGUUUAGUUUAACGACAUUUCGGUCAGUAUCGGAUUUAGGUUUAGUUUAACGACGUUUCGGUCGGUUGAUUUGGUGGAUUAGUUUAACGACGUUUCGGUCGAUUGAUUUGGUGGAUUAGUUUAACGAUGUUUCGGUCGGUUGAUUUGGGUUUGGUUCACAAGGUUUAUGGUAUUGGGUAUAUGGGAUUAUGGUUCAUGGACUUAUGGUUCAUGGGUUUAUGGUUCAUGAACUUGGUGUAUGGUUUGUGGUUUAUGGUUCAUGGACUUGGUUAAGGUUAUGGGCUUGGAUAUGGGUUAAAUGUGUAUGGGUUCAUGGGUAAAUGUAUAUAGGUUUAUGUAUAUGGGUUUAUGGGUAAAUGGGCUCUGGGCUUUGGACUAGGCCUAGAUUUA
RNAcentral lists this long non-coding RNA (756 nucleotides) under Ananas comosus (pineapple). Its description in RNAcentral is "long non-coding RNA (ACOM_LNC034288)". Lineage: Eukaryota; Viridiplantae; Streptophyta; Magnoliopsida; Poales; Bromeliaceae. The record is from RNAcentral.